RNAcentral lists this ribosomal RNA (433 nucleotides) under uncultured bacterium. RNAcentral's name for it is "partial 16S ribosomal RNA". It matches the Rfam family "Bacterial small subunit ribosomal RNA", at positions 29 to 507 of the family's 1533-position model. The record is from RNAcentral.
AACGAACGCUGGCGGCAUGCCUAACACAUGCAAGUCGAACGAGACCGUCGGGUCUAGUGGCGCACGGGGGCGUAACGCGUGGGAAGCUGCACUUAGGUUCGGAAUAACUCCCCGAGAGGGGUGCUAAUACCGGAUAAGGUCUUCGGACCAAAGAUCUAUCGCCGUUGGGUGGGCGCGCGUUGGAUUAGCUGGUUGGUAAGGUAAAAGCAUACCAACGACACGUUCCUUAGCUGGUCUGGGAGGAUGACCCGCCACACUUGGACUGAGACACGGCCCAGAGUCCUACGGAAGGGAGCAGUGGGGAAUAUUGGACGAUGGGCGAAAGCCUGAUCCAGCAAUGCCGCGUGAGUGAUGAAGGCCUUAGGGUUGUAAAGCUCUUUUACCCGGGAUGAUAAUGACAGUACCGGGAGAAUAAGCUCCGGCUAACUCCGUG